UACGGGGGGUGCGAGCGUUGUCCGGAUUCACUGGGCGUAAAGGGCGCGUAGGCGGCUGGCUCAGUCGGGCCUGUAAGUGCGGGGCUCAACCCCGUGAUGGGCUCGGGACGGGCUGGCUGGGGCGCGGUCGAGGGAGACGGAAUGCCGGGUGUAGUGGUGAAAUGCGUAGAGAUCCGGCGGAACACCGGUGGUGAAGACGGUCUCCUGGGCCGAGGGCCGACGCUGAGGCGCGAGAGCGUGGGGAGCGAAC
This 250-nucleotide ribosomal RNA is filed under the name uncultured bacterium. RNAcentral describes it as "partial 16S ribosomal RNA". It matches the Rfam family "Bacterial small subunit ribosomal RNA", at positions 524 to 773 of the family's 1533-position model. The record is from RNAcentral.